This 694-nucleotide long non-coding RNA is filed under the name Citrus sinensis (sweet orange). RNAcentral's name for it is "long non-coding RNA (CSIN_LNC004988)". Lineage: Eukaryota; Viridiplantae; Streptophyta; Magnoliopsida; Sapindales; Rutaceae. The record is from RNAcentral.
CAACACCUCGUGCCAAAUGAAAGCACAAUCUUUCUGAUUCAGAUGUCUUGUUAAUUAUGCUUCAUUUUUUCGUUAAAGAUUGGAUGGUUGCAUGGAUUGAUGGAGUUGGAGUUCAACCAAUAAUUCUAAUUUUUUGGACUUAAAAUGCCUUUUUCUUCUGUAUAAAAACUUUAGUAAGUGCUAUUGAGUUGACGGAGGUUGAAUACUUACAGGUUGUUUCACACUUUUUAAUAGUUUUACAUAUAUGAAUUUCUGUUUUUUGAAUUGCAGAAAGGAGGUGGAACUAUUGAUUUGGAGCCUUAUCUUACUCACUCAUCGACAACGGAGCCUACCCUCGCUCCCAUGGCAGUGGAACGGACAACGACUACUAGUGGAGCCUAUCCUCGCUCCCAUGGCAGUGGAACGGACAACAACUACUAGGGCUGCAACAUCAGUUGGUUUGGGUCUGUUUUGAGUUUAUUUUCAUUUAUUUGGCUAUGUUUUGAUAGCGAAUUUUGAUAUGUCAAUAUAAUGUGUAAUUGUUUUGGGUUGAGCUGGUAAUUAUGCUGGAUUAGAUUGGUUUGGUUUUGGUGCUUCUCUGAUGGAACACUGCUUCUUUUAGAAAUUUUGAAUGUAAUAUGAGACUACAUUUAGUUUAAUUGAACACUGCAUCUAGUCUAAUUACUAGAAGUGUGGCAUUUGGUUUGGUUUAUCC